CCUACGUGAUGCUGCAGUGGGGGAUAUUGCACAAUGGGGGGAACCCUGAUGCAGCGCCGCCGCGUGGGUGAAGAAGCGCCUCGGCGCGUAAAGCCCUGUCAGCAGGGAAGACAAUGACGGUACCUGAAGAAGAAGCCCCGGCUAACUACGAGCCAGCAGCCACGGUAAUACGUAGGGGGCAAGCGUUAUCCGGAUUUACUGGGUGUAACGAGGGCGCAGACGGCGAGGCAAGCCAGGAGUGAAAGCCCGGGGCCCAACCCCGGGACUGCUCUUGGAACUGGGUGGCUGGAGUGCAGGAGGGGCAUGCGGAAUUGCUGGUGUAGCGGUGAAAGGCGUAGAUAUCAGGAGGAACACCGGUGGCGAAGGCGGCCUGCUGGACUGCAACUGACGUUGAGGCCCGAAAGCGUGGGGAGCAAACAGGAUUAGAUACCCUGGUAGUC
RNAcentral lists this ribosomal RNA (440 nucleotides) under uncultured bacterium. RNAcentral describes it as "partial 16S ribosomal RNA". It matches the Rfam family "Bacterial small subunit ribosomal RNA", at positions 338 to 795 of the family's 1533-position model. The record is from RNAcentral.